This 2291-nucleotide ribosomal RNA is filed under the name Klebsiella pneumoniae. RNAcentral's name for it is "bacterial LSU rRNA". It matches the Rfam family "Bacterial large subunit ribosomal RNA", at positions 657 to 2925 of the family's 2925-position model. The record is from RNAcentral. Lineage: Bacteria; Pseudomonadati; Pseudomonadota; Gammaproteobacteria; Enterobacterales; Enterobacteriaceae.
AUAGGGGAGCCGCAGGGAAACCGAGUCUUAACUGGGCGUUAAGUUGCAGGGUAUAGACCCGAAACCCGGUGAUCUAGCCAUGGGCAGGUUGAAGGUUGGGUAACACUAACUGGAGGACCGAACCGACUAAUGUUGAAAAAUUAGCGGAUGACUUGUGGCUGGGGGUGAAAGGCCAAUCAAACCGGGAGAUAGCUGGUUCUCCCCGAAAGCUAUUUAGGUAGCGCCUCGUGAACUCAUCUUCGGGGGUAGAGCACUGUUUCGGCUAGGGGGUCAUCCCGACUUACCAACCCGAUGCAAACUACGAAUACCGAAGAAUGUUAUCACGGGAGACACACGGCGGGUGCUAACGUCCGUCGUGAAGAGGGAAACAACCCAGACCGCCAGCUAAGGUCCCAAAGUCAUGGUUAAGUGGGAAACGAUGUGGGAAGGCACAGACAGCCAGGAUGUUGGCUUAGAAGCAGCCAUCAUUUAAAGAAAGCGUAAUAGCUCACUGGUCGAGUCGGCCUGCGCGGAAGAUGUAACGGGGCUAAACCAUGCACCGAAGCUGCGGCAGCGACACUAUGUGUUGUUGGGUAGGGGAGCGUUCUGUAAGCCUGCGAAGGUGUGCUGUGAGGCAUGCUGGAGGUAUCAGAAGUGCGAAUGCUGACAUAAGUAACGAUAAAGCGGGUGAAAAGCCCGCUCGCCGGAAGACCAAGGGUUCCUGUCCAACGUUAAUCGGGGCAGGGUGAGUCGACCCCUAAGGCGAGGCCGAAAGGCGUAGUCGAUGGGAAACAGGUUAAUAUUCCUGUACUUGGUGUUACUGCGAAGGGGGGACGGAGAAGGCUAUGUUAGCCGGGCGACGGUUGUCCCGGUUUAAGCAUGUAGGCUGAUUGUCCAGGCAAAUCCGGAUAAUCAAGGCUGAGGUGUGAUGACGAGGCACUACGGUGCUGAAGUAACAAAUGCCCUGCUUCCAGGAAAAGCCUCUAAGCAUCAGGUAACAUUAAAUCGUACCCCAAACCGACACAGGUGGUCAGGUAGAGAAUACCAAGGCGCUUGAGAGAACUCGGGUGAAGGAACUAGGCAAAAUGGUGCCGUAACUUCGGGAGAAGGCACGCUGGUGUGUAGGUGAAGUCCCUGCGGAUGGAGCUGAGACCAGUCGAAGAUACCAGCUGGCUGCAACUGUUUAUUAAAAACACAGCACUGUGCAAACACGAAAGUGGACGUAUACGGUGUGACGCCUGCCCGGUGCCGGAAGGUUAAUUGAUGGGGUUAUCCGUAAGGAGAAGCUCUUGAUCGAAGCCCCGGUAAACGGCGGCCGUAACUAUAACGGUCCUAAGGUAGCGAAAUUCCUUGUCGGGUAAGUUCCGACCUGCACGAAUGGCGUAAUGAUGGCCAGGCUGUCUCCACCCGAGACUCAGUGAAAUUGAACUCGCUGUGAAGAUGCAGUGUACCCGCGGCAAGACGGAAAGACCCCGUGAACCUUUACUAUAGCUUGACACUGAACAUUGAGCCUUGAUGUGUAGGAUAGGUGGGAGGCUUUGAAGCGUGGACGCCAGUCUGCGUGGAGCCAACCUUGAAAUACCACCCUUUAAUGUUUGAUGUUCUAACGUUGGCCCCUGACCGGGGUUGCGGACAGUGUCUGGUGGGUAGUUUGACUGGGGCGGUCUCCUCCCAAAGCGUAACGGAGGAGCACGAAGGUUAGCUAAUCCUGGUCGGACAUCAGGAGGUUAGUGCAAUGGCAUAAGCUAGCUUGACUGCGAGCGUGACGGCGCGAGCAGGUGCGAAAGCAGGUCAUAGUGAUCCGGUGGUUCUGAAUGGAAGGGCCAUCGCUCAACGGAUAAAAGGUACUCCGGGGAUAACAGGCUGAUACCGCCCAAGAGUUCAUAUCGACGGCGGUGUUUGGCACCUCGAUGUCGGCUCAUCACAUCCUGGGGCUGAAGUAGGUCCCAAGGGUAUGGCUGUUCGCCAUUUAAAGUGGUACGCGAGCUGGGUUUAGAACGUCGUGAGACAGUUCGGUCCCUAUCUGCCGUGGGCGCUGGAGAAUUGAGGGGGGCUGCUCCUAGUACGAGAGGACCGGAGUGGACGCAUCACUGGUGUUCGGGUUGUCAUGCCAAUGGCACUGCCCGGUAGCUAAAUGCGGAAGAGAUAAGUGCUGAAAGCAUCUAAGCACGAAACUUGCCCCGAGAUGAGUUCUCCCUGAGACUUUAAGUCUCCUGAAGGAACGUUGAAGACGACGACGUUGAUAGGCCGGGUGUGUAAGCGCAGCGAUGCGUUGAGCUAACCGGUACUAAUGAACCGUGAGGCUUAACCUU